This is an RNA transcript of Drosophila hydei, 2164 nucleotides long. It is a transcript of the gene named ethanolaminephosphotransferase 1, with no coding region annotated. The record is from RefSeq and is a predicted model, not a curated record. NCBI's taxonomy places the organism in Eukaryota, Metazoa, Arthropoda, Insecta, Diptera, Drosophilidae. The transcript is spliced from 9 exons.
AUAAUACACAGUGCUGAGGCAGUCGCAAAUCGUCAUUGUCUCGCAAGUGCCUUCGCCUGUUCUAUAUAUAAAUAACUGUUAUAUAUAUUAGUAACGGUUGUUUGCGUGUUGCGUGCCAACAAUAACAACAACAAAAACAGCAAUAGCAAGAGGAGCAACGGGAACCGCAGGCGAACGGCAUCCCGUGUGUCUAUAUAAACGAUUAUUUAAUUUAUGGUUUGUAGUCAUAAAAAUAAAGAAGAAGAAGAAGCAUAAGUUUAUUUUUUCGAAGAGAAGUGCGUGCCGGUGGUGAACAGCUGCUGAAAUUUCCCAACUAAAACGUUUCGUAAAAUGUUUAUAUCGAAGACAGUUACUUGCAUUUGACCCCACAGGCAAAGGUCAUAAAUAUAUCAAUAUUAUAACUGUGCUCCGCUGUUAUCAUUGCAAUACAACAAUAUAUACAUAUAUAAGAAAACAAGAACAAUAUGGCCAACAUGCGCUAUUUGUCGGAAACCCAUUUGCGGGGCUUCGAGCGUUACAAGUACAACAGCAUAGACACCAGCUAUCUGAGUGUCUAUGUUAUGCAUCCCUUCUGGAAUGCUUGCGUUAAGUAUUUACCAAAAUGGUUGGCACCCAAUCUGCUCACCUUUGUGGGUUUUCUCAUGACCGUGGUGAACUUCCUAUUGAUAGCCAACUACGACUGGGACUUUACGGCGGCCAAUGAUAAGGCCGUGGGUAAUACAGUGCCUGGCUGGGUGUGGACCGUGGCUGCCAUAAAUAUUCUUAUCUACUACAAUUUGGAUGGCAUGGAUGGCAAACAGGCUCGCCGCACUGGCACGAGUGGGCCGCUGGGCGAGCUCUUUGAUCAUGGUCUGGACUCCUAUUCGGCGGCACUCAUACCCAUCUAUAUCUUCUCACUAUUUGGUACCGAAGAUUUGCCACCCAUACGCAUGUACUUCGUUAUUUGGAACGUAUUUCUCAAUUUCUAUUUUACACAUGUGGAAAAAUAUAAUACAGGUGUUAUGUUUUUGCCCUGGGGUUACGACUUUACCAUGUGGGGCGUCAGCUUGAUGCUUUUUGUGGCCACGCUCGUGGGUCCUGAAAUUUAUCGCUCGAGCUUUUAUGGCUUUACGGUGGCAAAUGUAUUUGAGGUGGGCCUAAUUGGCUCCGGCAUUCUGUCCAGUCACCCCAUCAUUAUAAGGAAUAUAUAUCUCUCUUAUAAGAAUAAGACGGGCAAAAUGCGUCCCAUGAUGGAGAUGUUGCGUCCGUUCUUCGCCUUUCUCUGGUUGUUCGUAAUAACCGUCGUUUGGUCGUUCUUCUCACGCAAUAAAGUUAUUAAUCUGGAGCCGCGCAUAUUGUGGAUACUCUAUGGCACUAUCUUUUCCAAUAUUGCAUGCCGCCUGAUCGUGGCCCAAAUGUCGGAUACACGUUGCGAUAGCUUCAAUAUACUCAUGUGGCCUUUGGUGGCCACCGUGGGCGUCUGCUGUUUCCCUUGGUAUGAGCAGGUGCUGGGCACGGAUCUGACGGCUCAGGGUGAGCGCUGGCUCGUCCAUGGCUUGACAAUAUUUGUUACAUUGGCCCACUGGCAUUAUGGCUUUGGUGUGGUCACGGAAAUGUGUAACCAUUUUAAGAUUCGUUGCUUCAAAGUAAGAAUAUCCCACAGCAAUUCCGUUGAACAUACAUACCAAAAUAAUAACAAAUCCCUGAAAAGUCAUUGAAACUAAUUACAUAACUAACUGAAAUCAACAAAGAAAAGUCAAAAAUUUCAACAAAUCGUUAAAGAAAACCAAAUGGUUGGCCAUUUUAUAUGUGAUAUAAAUGUUGGGUGUUACAAAAUUCUAUUUCGCCUCGCUCUGGUCUAAGUUUAAGUGAUCCAUAAACAGUAUAUAAGCUCUCUCUCUCAGUCUCUCUCAUGCGCCGCAUCAAUGUAAUGAUCAACACAUGUAUAGAUAUAUAACUGGUACUUAACUGCAUGAUAAGGCAGCUGCAAAUAGCAUGUGCUAUGACCCCUAACUGCAUGUUCCGAUAAGUAUUAAAUGCAUUCAGCUAACGGAAAAUCAGCUAAGCAAUAUUAUCUUAAAGCCCGCAUUAUAAUUUCUAUAGAUAACAAAGACGACGGCCAAUACCGCUGCGGAACUGAACGAGGCCGUCGAUGCCACAAAAGCCACGGAAACCGUCGAGGAAG